GAUGAACGCUGGCGGCGUGCCUAAUACAUGCCAGUCGAGCGAACAGACGAGGAGCUUGCUCCUCUGACGUUAGCGGCGGACGGGUGAGUAACACGUGGAUAACCUACCUAUAAGACUGGGAUAACUUCGGGAAACCGGAGCUAAUACCGGAUAAUAUAUUGAACCGCAUGGUUCAAUAGUGAAAGACGGUUUUGCUGUCACUUAUAGAUGGAUCCGCGCCGCAUUAGCUAGUUGGUAAGGUAACGGCUUACCAAGGCAACGAUGCGUAGCCGACCUGAGAGGGUGAUCGGCCACACUGGAACUGAGACACGGUCCAGACUCCUACGGGAGGCAGCAGUAGGGAAUCUUCCGCAAUGGGCGAAAGCCUGACGGAGCAACGCCGCGUGAGUGAUGAAGGUCUUCGGAUCGUAAAACUCUGUUAUUAGGGAAGAACCAAUGUGUAAGUAACUAUGCACGUCUUGACGGUACCUAAUCAGAAAGCCACGGCUAACUACGUG
This 497-nucleotide ribosomal RNA is filed under the name uncultured bacterium. Its description in RNAcentral is "partial 16S ribosomal RNA". It matches the Rfam family "Bacterial small subunit ribosomal RNA", at positions 28 to 507 of the family's 1533-position model. The record is from RNAcentral.